GCCGAAAUAGCUCAGUCGGUAGAGCAACUGAUUCGUAAUCAGUAGGUCGGCGGUUCGAUUCCGCCUUUCGGCACCA
This 76-nucleotide transfer RNA is filed under the name Alteromonadaceae bacterium. RNAcentral's name for it is "tRNA-Thr". It matches the Rfam family "tRNA". Rfam says of the family: Transfer RNA (tRNA) molecules are approximately 80 nucleotides in length. The record is from RNAcentral. Lineage: Bacteria; Pseudomonadati; Pseudomonadota; Gammaproteobacteria; Alteromonadales; Alteromonadaceae. RNAcentral also lists the same sequence under 1 other name.